UCGUACAGGAGAAGGGAGCAAGGGGGUGUGAACCCUAAACCUCAAGAAAUCAUCAAAUUAAAAGGGAAAUUGAAGGCUAGUUGACUGCAUGAAUUAAGAAUGGUGAUCACCUAAGUAUUUCCUACAUCAAGAUAGGAAACCUAAAUUGACAUGGACUCAAGUAUGGAAGGCUAACGGAUUAAGAGGAAAUGAGGAAGUUAUGCACAAGUUUGGACGCACGAGGUUUAUGAAUGUCGGACUUUCGAAGUGUUGAUAUAGUAAUGAAAUGGAUGAAUGUUAGAAGGAUAAUCGGGUUGAAGUAAACUUAAGCGGUUAGAUUAUGCUAUGGACGUUUUGGUUUAUACGAUAUUUCAUGUUUGGUCGUCACCACCUACAAACGGGUUAGUUGUAUGAAAGUAUAUGUCAUGCCCAUUUAAUUGGAUAAUGGAAUGCGUAAGAGAAAUGAAAGUACGUACACGAAUGAAACACCCUAAACGCGCUUUAGCUACAAAGACGCAGCGGAAUUACGUACCAUAAAAUUUCUUUCAUUAUGAAUAUCUUAACAUACUUGAAGUUCAUUCUUAAGGUGACACAUUUACAAUGAUUACAACAAUCGAACCCAUUUACAGAAUAAAAACAUAAACUAUGUUUACUAAAUUAGCUAUCCAAGCAUUCCCGUACAAUCUAACUUGUGACUCGGUCUUCGAUCUCUACGCCUCGGUAAUCCUUUGGGACUCGUACAACCUACACUUACCAUACAAUUUCAAACGUUAGUACACAUUAUGAAUAUAGCAAUAUUCAUACGUUUUCACUUUCCAUUCCGUAAUCCUUUGCAUUUAGGCAUUUCCGUCUGAGUAUCCACUCCCAUGUGAGACUUCAACAUUCUACCUGCAUUAUUAUACAUUCUCAAGAUACACUGUCAUUAACGUCAAUACUCAAUCGUAUCGAAGACAUACGAGCAUGUUAACUUACUUACUGGCAUACAGAUGUACAUACACACUUGCAUGCAUACAUAAAACGAAUCAUAUCUCUCAUGUGUAUACCCUCACUCACACGUACAUAUGCUUACAUAAAUACAUUCAUCCAUACCUAUUAACUCGUACAUACCUCUUACCUAAUUUCCAUGAAUUACUGCCGUAUCAUAAAUACAAACCUUCGUAUUCAUACUCACUCUUAUUCCUGCUUAUUUAUUUGUUAAACGUAUGGGAAUAAACUUAAAUCUUUACAUGCAUAUCCAAUACUUAGUUCAUUACCCUGCAUACUCACUCCCACAUCCCUACCUUACUCUUCCCAUCAUAAACGCAAUUUAAGUGUCAUUUGGGUAUGUUUCGGGUCUUAAGAAGGAGUUCCAUACUCACCCAUAACUUACAUAACCGUUUGGAAGGGUUGAGGAACAUUAUAAAUGCUUAACGAGGCUUAGAAUGAGUUCACGGGGUCCGAAAUCGAAGGAAAAACAAGAAACUGCAUAAACUACAUAUUUGCAUCAGCCCUCCACCGUAAGCUACGGUGGCUACCGUAGCUUACGGUGGCCCCCAAAACCUUACGGCAGCUUUAAACUGCCUUACGGCAGAAAUAAGGUUCCAGCCCCCACCGUAGCUUACGGUGGCACCGUAAGCUACGGUGGUGCCCAGAUCAGCACCCCACUUUCACACUAAAAUUCGCAUAACUUGCUCGUUUUUGAUCCGUUUUACCCGAUUCUUUUUCCUACGCGACCGUAAUUUAAUUCUCCAUCACAUAGAGU
Molecule: long non-coding RNA, 1720 nt
Organism: Helianthus annuus (common sunflower)
Lineage: Eukaryota; Viridiplantae; Streptophyta; Magnoliopsida; Asterales; Asteraceae
Exons: 3
Source: RefSeq, a predicted model, not a curated record